This is a long non-coding RNA of Erpetoichthys calabaricus (reedfish), 573 nucleotides long. RefSeq lists it as uncharacterized. The record is from RefSeq and is a predicted model, not a curated record. Lineage: Eukaryota; Metazoa; Chordata; Cladistia; Polypteriformes; Polypteridae. The transcript has 3 exons.
UUAGGUUUACUGGUAGAGCUACGUUGUCCAUUGUGAGUCAGCUUGUGUGUGGUUAGCGUCCACAUGCAUGACCCCCAAUUAAAUUAACUGGCCUCAAGAAUAGCUGGUUGGGUGGACUGGCAUACUUUAGUUGUGUUAAUGUGUAAUUCAAAGACUGAACAUAACAUAUAAUAAUAUGCAUAGCUGUCAUGCAUGUGCAGAUUUAUUAGCUGGUUUCCUGUUAAUAUUAAUACCAUAGAUUUUGCUUCCUAUGAAAUCCAAUUGACAUCUGCUAAAACUGUGAAUCUUUCCCUGUAGACACUGGAUGGCCAUUCCCAGCAAUAAUAUAUUCAAGUGGGGCCCGAUUUCUGGUGAGGACAACAUCCAAACUCUCAUCAUGCCGACCUAAAAAGUAGAACAAGGAAUGAACUAUAAACUCAGGCAGCCUGCCGUUCUACAAUGCCUGAUCAAGACAAAAAGGUGAAAAAAACUGACAAGACAAGUGAGAAGAAAGCAAAAGACAGCGUUGAAAGAGAGACUUCAGACCUUAGAAGACUCUUGGAUCUUCUUAGUGCUCCAGCAAGCAAACAGCAG